Molecule: transfer RNA, 66 nt
Filed under: Takydromus sexlineatus (Asian grass lizard)
Lineage: Eukaryota; Metazoa; Chordata; Lepidosauria; Squamata; Lacertidae
Description: tRNA-Ser
Source: RNAcentral
AAGAGGUGUAUAAACUAUUAGAACUGCUAACUCUAAUCCCCAAGAAUAAAAUUCCUGGACCUCUUA